Molecule: long non-coding RNA, 799 nt
Filed under: Mytilus galloprovincialis (Mediterranean mussel)
Lineage: Eukaryota; Metazoa; Mollusca; Bivalvia; Mytilida; Mytilidae
Source: RNAcentral
GUACGUUUUACUUUAUGUUAUUAGCUGUAUCGAUAACGUCGUAUAUGGCGCAACUUUGUCAUGUAUUGUUCAGAACGUUACCGUUGAGUCAAUAUUUUAAGCGUGAACCCAAAAGUGUUCAUUUAUGAGUUCUUAACUGGAAGAAUUGAUAUGUCUAGAUUUGUUUAUUUAUAAGGUUGUAUUAUUAUAAGCGUUUUGAGUCGAGGACUCCUAUAUUUUAUGUAAGCGUUUUACGUUAUGUUACGUUAUGUUUUUCUUCCUGCCUAGAAUAUUUACUUCCGGUAAUUUGAAAUAAAUACCAGUGCAACGUCACGUUUUUGCUGUGUUUACUUUUGGCUUGCAGCAAGGCUCGUCCCGGGGGUUCCUAGAGGUAAGAAGCAGCGCAUUAGCUGUAUGCCUCGCAUUUUAUAUUACAAGUAAGGGUUAUAAUUUAGAGGUAAGAAGCAGCGCAGAUAGCUGUAUGCCUUGCAUUUUAUUUAUAUUGUCAUUGAAAUAUUUAAGAUAAUUCCAGUUGACCCGUACGAAAAUACACGAGAAAGAAUAUUAUUUAAGUAUCUUCGCCCCGUAUGUUUAUUAUAUUAUUGUUGGAAUAUUGUACUUUUAUGGAAAUAUAUCGGCUGUUUAAUAAAAGUAUCAUUUUUACUAUUGACUAGUUAUUCACGCUACCAAUGAUGAGAGAGAACAGACAACAGAUUUUACGUCCGUAUUUAUUUAUUACCCCGUGCAUUUACUAGUUUUAUGAGAUAUUCGUAUUUGCUGGCUUUAUAACUAUAUCAAAACAUAGCAAGAAGCAGAAAUU